This 71-nucleotide transfer RNA is filed under the name Euconocercus iris. RNAcentral describes it as "transfer RNA-Val". Lineage: Eukaryota; Metazoa; Arthropoda; Insecta; Orthoptera; Tettigoniidae. The record is from RNAcentral.
AAUAAAGCUUAAGAGUUAGGUAUUCCAUUUACACUGGGAAGGUUUCUGUGCAAUUCAGAUUAUUUUGAUGG